This 429-nucleotide ribosomal RNA is filed under the name Chloroflexota bacterium. RNAcentral describes it as "Chloroflexi bacterium partial 16S ribosomal RNA". It matches the Rfam family "Bacterial small subunit ribosomal RNA", at positions 355 to 776 of the family's 1533-position model. The record is from RNAcentral. Lineage: Bacteria; Bacillati; Chloroflexota.
UGGGGAAUAUUGCACAAUGGGCGCAAGCCUGAUGCAGCCAUGCCGCGUGUAUGAAGAAGGCCUUCGGGUUGUAAAGUACUUUCAGUCGGGAGGAAGGUGGUAAGGUUAAUAACCUUGGCAAUUGACGUUACCGACAGAAGAAGCACCGGCUAACUCCGUGCCAGCAGCCGCGGUAAUACGGAGGGUGCAAGCGUUAAUCGGAAUUACUGGGCGUAAAGCGCACGCAGGCGGUUGAUUGAGUCAGAUGUGAAAUCCCCGGGCUUAACACGGGAAGUGCAUCUGAUACUGGUCAGCUAGAGUCUUGUAGAGGGGGGUAGAAUUCCAUGUGUAGCGGUGAAAUGCGUAGAGAUGUGGAGGAAUACCGGUGGCGAAGGCGGCCCCCUGGACAAAGACUGACGCUCAGGUGCGAAAGAGUGGGGAGCAAAAAGG